GCGGCCAUAGCGCCGUGGAACCACCUGAUCCCAUGCCGAACUCAGAAGUGAAACGCGGUAGCGCCGAUGGUAGUGUGGCAUUCGCCAUGCGAGAGUAGGACACUGCCAGGC
Molecule: ribosomal RNA, 111 nt
Filed under: Aeromonas hydrophila
Lineage: Bacteria; Pseudomonadati; Pseudomonadota; Gammaproteobacteria; Aeromonadales; Aeromonadaceae
Also listed under: 11 other names
Source: RNAcentral